Molecule: ribosomal RNA, 411 nt
Filed under: uncultured Megasphaera sp.
Lineage: Bacteria; Bacillati; Bacillota; Negativicutes; Veillonellales; Veillonellaceae
Description: bacterial SSU rRNA
Rfam family: Bacterial small subunit ribosomal RNA
Source: RNAcentral
UGGGGAGUAACAGCCGGAAACGGCUGCUAAUACCGAAUACGAUCUUUCGUCGCAUGACGGAAAGAAGGAAAGGAUGGCCUCUAUACAAAGCUAUCGCCGAAGGAGGGGUUUGCGUCUGAUUAGCUGGUUGGAGGGUAACGGCCCAACAAGGCGAUGAUCAGUAGCCGGUCUGAGAGGAUGAACGGCCACAUUGGGACUGAGACACGGCCCAGACUCCUACGGGAGGCAGCAGUGGGGAAUCUUCCGCAAUGGACGAAAGUCUGACGGAGCAACGCCGCGUGAGUGAAGAAGGUCUUCGGAUUGUAAAACUCUGUUAUACGGGACGAAAAAGGCGGAUGCCAACAGUAUCCGUCCGUGACGGUACCGUAAGAGAAAGCCACGGCUAACUACGUGCCAGCAGCCGCGGUAAAU